AUGAACGCUGGCGGCGUGCUUCACCCCUGCCCGUCGAACGGAAAGGCCCAAGCUUGCUUGGGUACUCGAGUGGCGAACGGGUGAGUAACACGUGGGUGAUCUGCCCUGCACUUCGGGAUAAGCCUGGGAAACUGGGUCUAAUACCGGAUAGGACGAUGGUUUGGAUGCCAUUGUGGAAAGUUUUUUCGGUGUGGGAUGAGCUCGCGGCCUAUCAGCUUGUUGGUGGGGUAAUGGCCUACCAAGGCGUCGACGGGUAGCCGGCCUGAGAGGGUGUACGGCCACAUUGGGACUGAGAUACGGCCCAGACUCCUACGGGAGGCAGCAGUGGGGAAUAUUGCACAAUGGGCGCAAGCCUGAUGCAGCGACGCCGCGUGGGGGAUGACGGCCUUCGGGUUGUAAACUCCUUUCGCUAGGGACGAAGCGUUUUUGUGACGGUACCUGGAGAAGAAGCACCGGCUAACUACGUG
This 467-nucleotide ribosomal RNA is filed under the name uncultured bacterium. RNAcentral's name for it is "partial 16S ribosomal RNA". It matches the Rfam family "Bacterial small subunit ribosomal RNA", at positions 29 to 507 of the family's 1533-position model. The record is from RNAcentral.